GACUUUGAACCGCAGGUGGGGAGGGAAGGGUGGGCUCCCAGGCUGGCAAUGCCGGGGGGCGGGGCUUGAAGUUGGGGGGGGGUCAGCGGCAGAGGGGGCGUGGCCAAGGAGGUAAUGGGCUUGGGAAGGGGCGGUGUGUCGCAAGUAGGGUGGCGUUUUCCUUCCCGAGUGGAAAGCUUGAGUGAGAGAGGACAUCGAGGUCCCGCUGGACCUGCAAUCCGACCAACUCUUUGCAGAUUUUCUGCCGCUUAAGUGUGAUGCCUGCUCAGGCAUCUUCUGCGCAGACCAUGUGGCCUACGCCCAGCAUCACUGUGGAUCUGCUUACCAAAAGGAUAUCCAGGUACCUGUGUGCCCUCUCUGUAAUGUGCCUGUGCCUGUGGCCAGAGGGGAGCCCCCUGACCGUGCUGUGGGAGAGCACAUUGACAGAGACUGUCGCUCUGAUCCAGCACAGCAAAAACGUAAGAUCUUCACCAAUAAGUGCGAGCGCGCUGGCUGCCGGCAGCGAGAAAUGAUGAAACUGACCUGUGAACGCUGUAGCCGAAACUUCUGCAUCAAGCACCGGCACCCACUGGACCAUGAUUGCUCUGGGGAGGGGCACCCAACCAGCCGGGCAGGACUUGCUGCCAUCUCCAGAGCACAAGCUGUGGCUUCUACAAGCACCGUCCCCAGCCCAAGUCGAACCAUGCCUUCCUGUCCCUCUCCCAGCAGGUAGGCCUGCCCGUUUCCCUGCUCCCCCUUUUUCCCCUUCACACCUCUGACCUCCACCUCUUCAAUGUCUGUCGUAGAGCCACAACCCGAUCUCCGUCCUGGACAGCCCCUCCAGUGAUUGCUUUGCAGAAUGGCCUGAGUGAGGAUGAAGCUCUGCAGCGGGCCCUGGAAAUGUCCCUGGCAGAGACCAAACCCCAGGUUCCAAGGUACCUUACCCUCUUGUGAAAGAGAGCGCAAGCUGUGGGCAAGGGCUUGGUCUGGAGGCAGGUAGGUGGGACCACUCUGACACAAUGCAAGAUAAUCGCUGGCAACUUGGUCUCAAAAGUAAGAUGAGCUAUAUGAUCUUUGACAAGUUAUUUAACCCAUGGAGCCUUCACUUCCUCUAUAAAACGGGGACAAUACUAACACCCACCUUGUAGUGUUGCUAUGAAGAUUGAGAUAAUCCUCAGCAGUGCUCGGCACCAUGAGGCCCGACACACACUGAUCAGAUGUCCAAAUUUCAGAUCUUACCAUCAUCCAACUUAAACCGUUUCUCCCUCCCAGUUGUCAGGAGGAAGAAGACCUAGCUUUAGCACAAGCACUGUCAGCCAGUGAGGCAGAAUACCAGCGGCAGCAGGUAUGAGCCUGGGGUGAAGAUGUGUGCUGCAGUGGGAGGGAGGCAGAAGUCAGGGAUGGGGGUUCUUCCGAGUGGUGCAGGGUUUUGGAAUGGUGGUUGUCGUUUGGUUUUCAGUAUGACUCCAGCCCGUGCUGAGCUCUGAAAUGAGGGCUGUCCCUCAUUUCCUUGACAUUGCACCGUGUCUUCCCCUCCUUCCCCUCUCCUUGCUCCAGGCCCAGAGCCGCAGCUCGAAGCCGUCCAACUGCAGCCUGUGCUAGGGCCCUGGGCUUGGGGAGGGAGAUUCACCUGAGGAGGACUGUGGCCCUCACACCUCUAGGGUACACAGGGAGAGGAGGCCCGGAGCAGCCUGGAGGGCAGAGACAAACAGGAGUGAUGUGGAGGUCGCCCUGGGAGCCUCUGGAAGGCCUUGCUAGUGCUCCAGCUGCAUGGAAGAGAGCGACUAGCAACUGUUCCCUGGUUGGGCCCUCAGUGGAUGCUGGCCAGGCCCUACUCUCAGCCCCUUCAUCAUGUGAUCUCCCUGAUGCUGGAGCUGCCCCGAUGUGGAGUGGGCAGGAAGGGGCCUGGAAAAAAUAAAGGAUCUUGGCAGUUGAUAAAACGU
RNAcentral lists this small RNA (1922 nucleotides) under Pongo abelii (Sumatran orangutan). Its description in RNAcentral is "retained intron". The record is from RNAcentral. Lineage: Eukaryota; Metazoa; Chordata; Mammalia; Primates; Hominidae.